Sinocyclocheilus grahami is the source of this 331-nucleotide long non-coding RNA. RefSeq lists it as uncharacterized. The transcript is spliced from 5 exons. Lineage: Eukaryota; Metazoa; Chordata; Actinopteri; Cypriniformes; Cyprinidae. The record is from RefSeq and is a predicted model, not a curated record.
CAAUUUUCCUUAUUGUUAAAGAAUCCUGAUCAACCUGAAAAUGCCAAAUCUCUUAAAGUGGCGAUAGUGGGUGCGCCUAAUGCAGGGAAAUCAACAUUGACCAAUCAACUGCUGGGUCGAAAGUUGUUUGCUGUUUCUGAGAAAGUGCACACAACAAGAUCACGUGCUGUUGGUGUCCUGACAGAGGAUGACACACAAAUCAUACUGUUGGAUACCCCUGGUCUCACCACACCAAUAAAGGCUAAAAGACAUCACCUGGAGGAAUCGCUGCUGGUGGAUCCUUUUGAGUCAAUAAAGGAAGCUGAUCUAGUGAUGGUGCUAGUCGAUAUGU